RNAcentral lists this ribosomal RNA (301 nucleotides) under uncultured bacterium. RNAcentral's name for it is "partial 16S ribosomal RNA". It matches the Rfam family "Bacterial small subunit ribosomal RNA", at positions 509 to 807 of the family's 1533-position model. The record is from RNAcentral.
CAGUAGCCGCGGGAAUACGGAGGGUGCAAGCGUUAAUCGGAAUUACUGGGCGUAAAGCGCACGCAGGCGGUCUGACAAGUCAGAUGUGAAAUCCCCGGGCUUAACCUGGGAACUGCUUUUGAAACUGUCAGGCUGGAGUCUUGUAGAGGGGGGUAGAAUUCCAGGUGUAGCGGUGAAAUGCGUAGAGAUCUGGAGGAAUACCGGUGGCGAAGGCGGCCCCCUGGACAAAGACUGACGCUCAGGUGCGAAAGCGUGGGGAGCAAACAGGAUUAGAUACCCCAGUAGUCCCUGUCUCUUAUAC